GGGCCGUUAGCUCAACGGGCAGAGCAGUGGACUUUUAAUCCACGGGUUCAGGGUUCGAGUCCCUGGCGGCCCACCG
RNAcentral lists this transfer RNA (76 nucleotides) under Actinopolyspora saharensis. RNAcentral's name for it is "tRNA_Lys_TTT". It matches the Rfam family "tRNA". Rfam says of the family: Transfer RNA (tRNA) molecules are approximately 80 nucleotides in length. Their secondary structure includes four short double-helical elements and three loops (D, anti-codon, and T loops). Further hydrogen bonds mediate the characteristic L-shaped molecular structure. tRNAs have two regions of fundamental functional importance: the anti-codon, which is responsible for specific mRNA codon recognition, and the 3' end, to which the tRNAs corresponding amino acid is attached (by aminoacyl-tRNA synthetases). tRNAs cope with the degeneracy of the genetic code in two manners: having more than one tRNA (with a specific anti-codon) for a particular amino acid; and 'wobble' base-pairing, i.e. permitting non-standard base-pairing at the 3rd anti-codon position. The record is from RNAcentral. Lineage: Bacteria; Bacillati; Actinomycetota; Actinomycetes; Actinopolysporales; Actinopolysporaceae.